Long non-coding RNA from Rana temporaria (common frog), 509 nucleotides. RefSeq lists it as uncharacterized. The transcript is spliced from 3 exons. Lineage: Eukaryota; Metazoa; Chordata; Amphibia; Anura; Ranidae. The record is from RefSeq and is a predicted model, not a curated record.
UUCAAUCUGGUUGACUCCUUAUGGCAGUGCCAUUCUAAGCCCUCUAUUUGUCUAUUUCAGAGACCUGACAGGGCUUGUCUAUACUUGGCCCCUUGUUACCUAUCUGGGGUGCAUCCAUUGUGAAUAUUGUGUUUAAAUUCACUGUAUUGCUAUAUGAUCAGCUUACACUCCUGUGUUAAUUUCAACUCACCAUGGUUACAGCCUGAUUAGCUCUAUCUACCUUCACUGGAUUUUUAGCUGCAAUCUGCAUUGGCUAUAUACUACUAUGGUGCAGAUGGAACUUUUUCACUGGAUGCCAGUACAAGUUUAUUCUUUUAACCAUUAACCCCUCACCAGUUCAGACUCCGGGUUACUGUUACCCCUAAUCUCAACUGAUGCUCCUCUAGCACAUUUAUAACAAAAAGUCCUUUGAAGAAGCGCCAUAUCUCAGCGCGAAACAUGUCAGGCCACAGCGAUUCCUUUGUCAUCGUUUAGACCUUCAGUCUAUGCAGUCUUCGGUCCUUCCUCAG